CUCCCUGUGGCUCAGUUGGUAGAGCAUGGUGUUUGCAACGCCAGCAUGGUGUGUGCAACGCCAGGGUUGUGGGUUCGAUUCCCACGGGGGGU
This 92-nucleotide transfer RNA is filed under the name Salmo salar (Atlantic salmon). It matches the Rfam family "tRNA". Rfam says of the family: Transfer RNA (tRNA) molecules are approximately 80 nucleotides in length. Lineage: Eukaryota; Metazoa; Chordata; Actinopteri; Salmoniformes; Salmonidae. The record is from Rfam by way of RNAcentral.